GGAUGAAACCAGUGGGGAUUCUGUUCACAUUCUUCUUCCUGGUAACAGUCAAGACAGUUGCAAUCUUUUCUUACAACCUUUGCAAAACAAAUGAGAAAUAUUGUUAGAUCAGAAAAUAGUAGGCAGAAUAUUACAAGAAACCAGCAACCAUCCGGUUGGUGGCAGCUGAGAAUUCCUAGUUCAGAACAAACUCAAUGCAACCGUGGUCCAGCAUGCCA
Molecule: unclassified non-coding RNA, 218 nt
Filed under: Hevea brasiliensis (rubber tree)
Lineage: Eukaryota; Viridiplantae; Streptophyta; Magnoliopsida; Malpighiales; Euphorbiaceae
Source: RNAcentral